RNAcentral lists this ribosomal RNA (650 nucleotides) under Bacillus sp. YIM DKMY42. Its description in RNAcentral is "bacterial SSU rRNA". It matches the Rfam family "Bacterial small subunit ribosomal RNA", at positions 28 to 658 of the family's 1533-position model. Lineage: Bacteria; Bacillati; Bacillota; Bacilli; Caryophanales; Bacillaceae. The record is from RNAcentral.
GACGAACGCUGGCGGCGUGCCUAAUACAUGCAAGUCGAGCGGAGAUUUGGGAGCUUGCUCCCAAAUCUUAGCGGCGGACGGGUGAGUAACACGUGGGCAACCUGCCCUGCAGACUGGGAUAACUCCGGGAAACCGGAGCUAAUACCGGGUAAUACAUCGCACCGCAUGGUGCAAUGUUGAAAGUUGGCUUUCGAGCUAACACUGCAGGAUGGGCCCGCGGCGCAUUAGCUAGUUGGUAAGGUAAUGGCUUACCAAGGCGACGAUGCGUAGCCGACCUGAGAGGGUGAUCGGCCACACUGGGACUGAGACACGGCCCAGACUCCUACGGGAGGCAGCAGUAGGGAAUCUUCCGCAAUGGACGAAAGUCUGACGGAGCAACGCCGCGUGAGUGACGAAGGCCUUCGGGUCGUAAAGCUCUGUUGUUAGGGAAGAACAAGUACCGUUCGAAUAGGGCGGUACCUUGACGGUACCUAACCAGAAAGCCACGGCUAACUACGUGCCAGCAGCCGCGGUAAUACGUAGGUGGCAAGCGUUGUCCGGAAUUAUUGGGCGUAAAGCGCGCGCAGGCGGUCUUUUAAGUCUGAUGUGAAAGCCCACGGCUCAACCGUGGAGGGUCAUUGGAAACUGGAGGACUUGAGUGCAGAAGAGGA